UAACUGUCAGGCCAUAUUAAGCCACAGUACGGAAGAAGCUGUGCUGCCUGUGAGCCCCGUCCAAGGACGUUAAAAGAAGAAGUCAGGCCCCAAAGCCACGGUUUGAGCAAACCGUGCUGCCUGUAGCUCCGUCGUGGGGACGUAAAAACCUGGGAGGCUGCAAACCGUGGAAGCUGUACGCACGGUGUAGCAGACUAGCGGUUAGAGGAGACCCCUCCCAUGACACAACGCAGCAGCGGGGCCCGAGCACUGAGGGAAGCUGUACCUCCUUGCAAAGGACUAGAGGUUAGAGGAG
Molecule: long non-coding RNA, 295 nt
Filed under: dengue virus type 3
Lineage: Riboviria; Orthornavirae; Kitrinoviricota; Flasuviricetes; Amarillovirales; Flaviviridae
Description: Dengue virus type 3 partial sfRNA1
Rfam family: Flavivirus DB element (bases 153-224)
Source: RNAcentral